RNAcentral lists this transfer RNA (72 nucleotides) under Bos taurus (domestic cattle). It matches the Rfam family "tRNA". Rfam says of the family: Transfer RNA (tRNA) molecules are approximately 80 nucleotides in length. Their secondary structure includes four short double-helical elements and three loops (D, anti-codon, and T loops). Lineage: Eukaryota; Metazoa; Chordata; Mammalia; Artiodactyla; Bovidae. RNAcentral also lists the same sequence under 1 other name. The record is from Rfam by way of RNAcentral.
UUUUGGGUGGCUCAGAGGUUAAAGCGUCUGUCUCCAAUGCAGGAGACCCGGGUUCGAUCCCUGGGUCAGGAA